GUGACGGAAGCCGCGGUAAUACAGAGGUCUCAAGCGUUGUUCGGAUUCAUUGGGCGUAAAGGGUGCGUAGGCGGCGCGGUAAGUCGGGUGUGAAAUUUCGGAGCUUAACUCCGANACUGCAUUCGAUACUGCCGUGCUUGAGGACUGGAGAGGAGACUGGAAUUUACGGUGUAGCAGUGAAAAUGCGUAGAGAUCGNAAGGAAGACCAG
Molecule: ribosomal RNA, 209 nt
Filed under: unidentified eubacterium 88R6
Lineage: Bacteria
Description: partial 16S ribosomal RNA
Rfam family: Bacterial small subunit ribosomal RNA
Source: RNAcentral